CUUCCACCAUGUCUUUCCUCCCCAAAAGGCGGUCCCUCCUCCCCGAAAGGUGGCCGCUCCUCCCCAUAAGGUGGUCUCUCCCCCCUGAAAGGUGGUCUCUCACCCCCGAAAGGUGGCCUAUCUUCCCCGUAAGGUGGUCUCUCGCCUCUGAAAGGUGGCCUAUCUUCCCCGUAAGGUGGUCUCUCCUCCCUGUAAGGUGGUCUCUCUUCCCCAUAAGGUGGUCUCUCCUCCCUGUAAGGUGGUCUCUCUUCCCCGUAAGGUGGCCUCUCCUCCCCAAAAGGUGGUCUCUCCUCCCCAAAAGGUGGUCUUUCUUCCCCAUAAGGCGGCUCAUUCCUCCCACCAUGUCUCUCCUCCCCAUAAGAUGGUUCAUUCCUUCCACCUAGUCUCUCCUCCCCAAGAGAUGAUUGUUUCCAUCCACCCGGUAUUUCCUCCCCAUCAGAUGACUGUUUCCAUCCACCAGAGCCCUCCUCACCAUGUUCUCCAGAACCAUGAUCGCUUCUCUGCAACAUAGAAUACAAGAGUCAAAUGCAGUAGCAAUGCACAUGGACAAAAGCUUAGCACCACCACCUUAAAAUCAAAUACUUCACUACCACAAUGCAGUGUGACAACUGACAAGGGAUGACCUCACCCCUAGUGCCUUUAUAUAGCAAACAUAUAAGUUCUAUAACUACUGAAAGCAAAUGAGCGAAAAAUAGAGAGAAGGAGCAUAUGAACUUUUGGUUACCCCAGGUAGAAA
RNAcentral lists this long non-coding RNA (736 nucleotides) under Fragaria vesca (wild strawberry). RNAcentral describes it as "long non-coding RNA (FVES_LNC003590)". The record is from RNAcentral. Lineage: Eukaryota; Viridiplantae; Streptophyta; Magnoliopsida; Rosales; Rosaceae.